UAAAAAUUAUUGUUUCAUGAUUUAAUUAUUUAAUGUUUAAUAUUGUAUGAGUUUUAGAAUUAGGCAGAGGCAGGAGUUUUGAAGAUCUAAACUCAGGGUAGAGAUGCCCCUGUUUCUGCAGGUCUUGUUAUUAAGCAUUUCUGGAAAUGCUUAUGUCUGAGGAGCAUAGGCUGGGGUAUCCAUGUCUGAAAAUGUUAACUAUUUUAUCUUAUAGUCCUUCCAGAAAACUUAAUUUCCAAUUGAACAGCCAACGCUGCAUAUCGACUGAUGGGAAGUUCUACCACCUGCAAGUGGAAUGUCAACUACCACUCCAAAGGGAAAAAAAAACAGACUGUACUUCUCAGUGGAACGAGGGAAGACACUACUGGUCAAUGAAGUGCAAUCUCCAGGAGACCCAGGGAUCAGCUAAUGAUGAGACACUCUCUCCAAUGGCAUUUAUCCUACACAAGUCUGCAGGCAUAGGCAAAGAUAGCUUUACCAAAGCUGGACACUCUAGACUGGUGAAUGAAAGAAAAAUCUGUUUGACAAGCAGAAGAAAACUCCAUAUGAAGUAAUACUUCUGUUUGUGGUGGUACUGACAAAAUUGGAGGUUAAUACUAAAUGAACUGCAAAUAUUGAAGCUAUUCUGAAGAAGCUCUAGUGAGCAGUAGGACCCCAUCCUGGCUGCUUAAUCCUGCAGGGGUAGGUGCCUCUUUGAAUCUCCUUGGUACUUAACACCUGUAAUUGGUAAAAG
Molecule: long non-coding RNA, 733 nt
Filed under: Struthio camelus australis
Lineage: Eukaryota; Metazoa; Chordata; Aves; Struthioniformes; Struthionidae
Description: lncRNA (ENSSCUG00000000641.1)
Source: RNAcentral